Molecule: ribosomal RNA, 2023 nt
Filed under: Triticum aestivum (bread wheat)
Lineage: Eukaryota; Viridiplantae; Streptophyta; Magnoliopsida; Poales; Poaceae
Description: partial small subunit ribosomal RNA
Source: RNAcentral
CUAUUUAGUGGCUAAACUUCGAGGCUAGGUACUUUAAAACACCCGUAAUCCCUCCCGGAACUCACCAUGCCGGCCUCACUUCUUUCCCCUUUUCACUCCCAAAUACUUCCCCUUUUGUCCCCUACGAGACAAAACAACUGCGUUCCCCGUACCGCGGAACCCGUCCCCGCAGUACUAGUACCGUACCUCAGGACAGGACCUCCCAGUACCACGGUACGGGACGGUUGCACCGUUCAGCGGCGACUGGUCGUACCGCGGGUUGUUGCUACUCGCCGUCGCCUCCCUCCUGCCCCUCGUGUGUCGCCGCCGCCUCCCCUCGUCGUCGUUGUUUGGAGAGAGAAGGAGGGCAGGGGGUGCGGCGGUGGGACGGAGGAGAGGAGGGCACCUGCAGCUGGUGGGAGGUGCGGGAUCGGAGGGGAAGAGGAGGAGUACAGGAGCGGAGGCUGCGGCAGCGGGGGUUGGGUCCGCUGGGGAAGGAGGUUGAACGCGGCCUGCAGUGGGCCUCAACUCUCCUCUCCUCUCCGUCUAGAGUGGUGGUGACCACUGGAGGGAGGGAGGGAGGAGUCUACCUGCCUGCUCCAUUGUGGCGGGUUUUGGGAUCGGGGCGGGGAGUGGGUGGGUGUACCUACCUGCCUACCCCUGCCCCUCGUCCGGUCCGCCGCCGGUCUAGGUGGUGCCGACGGCGCCAAGUAGACCUAGGCGCGGGAGGGGUCAACGAGCGCGCGAUCCUCUUCUCCUCCACCGUCGCCGAUGACGGCAAGAGCACGCCGGCCCGUCGAGCAGACGAGGCUGGGGCAGUUCAGAACCUCCUCUACGUUAUCUUGGACUCUACGCUAAGAAGCCGGGGUUGUUCGCGGUCCUGUUCCCGGUGAGAAGCAAAAUAUAAGGACGCACGUUAUAUAUCACGUAUCAACCAAGUAAAAGUAGAUACUGUUUAGUACAGAAUGAAAAUGUAAAUAGUCCUGGUCGUUCAGUUUCAACUUUGAGCUGUGGUAGACUUGGAUAAAGUACCUUAACCCCUGACUUAAACCUAUGAAACAAAACUCCGUUUUCUCUAAUAAACUUCAAACGACUAAAGUAUUCGGGCAUUUACUGGCAUGUGGUAAACUUCGCGUCCCCACACUGCACGGCGUUGUGGCUGGUUGUUCCACAACGAUGACAAAAACGCGUCGCUCAGCUCCGCUCGGUCACGGCUAACGGUGUUUUCCUCCAUUCGGUUCCCGCUCUUUAUCUCGUACGGCAUACACCAAAAAGUAAAGUCCGUUAUUUAUGAUAGUCCGACCAAACACGACACAACCUAAGCCAGGUCAAUGUUCUGUCUCCGUCUCCUAUACCUAUGUUCUUCAGUUCUUCUAUGGGAAGAGAGACAAAGAUUUAAUGUUUCAUGGAACGGACCUAGACCUCCACGUCAAUGCCGUUUGAGUUGUAUCAGUUCCUGUCCUUUCUUGGUACCUUUCUUCUUCCCCAAAUCCACCAUUCGUGUAACUGUCCUAGCUGCUAGCUGUUGGGUUAGAUAGAGUGACUACAACUUCCAUCUCCGGGUCUCCAAUUCUAAUACACGUCACUUGGUACGGAAACACCCUCCUGGUUCUGUUCUCCUGGCGUACAGCUCAUAGUCGGGAUUUUCACACCUCACGUAGGCGGCAUUUGUCGAUGUAACCAGAGGUGGGCAAGUUACGACGUAGUGAACCAAGCAAACGAACGAAGGAAACGAGCCAAGUCCUCCGUCAGCCCCUCUUCCGAUCCCGGUCAAUGUUCUUGGAGUCCCAGAACGCAGUACCAACAUAGGUACGUACACAACUUUCGUAACUCGAAUUAAAUCUAUACAUCUGCGUUAAGGAAAAGCACAUAUUCUAUUAACCAAAUAUAUAUCUGACAGGUACUACCUUCAACUUCAAUGACACUAUUAACCAAAUAGACGAUAAAAAAUAUAAACGUUACGAACAACCCAACCUAUACUGAUAUGGGCCGUCGCCACACGACGGCCCACGCCGUUCGGUGUGAAGGAAGACAAUGAAAUAAG